GUGCUAUAAUGGGGAAGAAGUUCUUUGAAAUCAGUGAAUGAAGUAGGGGAAGUAGGUGUGAAUCCUACACAGCCCCUUGCUACUGUAUGGCCGUGUGCUAAGUCAGAUUACCUACUUGAUUGAUCGAAUAUGU
This 133-nucleotide non-coding RNA is filed under the name Facklamia languida. The record is from RNAcentral. Lineage: Bacteria; Bacillati; Bacillota; Bacilli; Lactobacillales; Aerococcaceae.